Molecule: ribosomal RNA, 478 nt
Filed under: uncultured bacterium
Lineage: Bacteria
Description: bacterial SSU rRNA
Rfam family: Bacterial small subunit ribosomal RNA
Source: RNAcentral
AUUGAACGCUGGCGGCAUGCUUAACGCAUGCAAGUCGAACGGUAGCAGACCUAGCUUGCUAGGUGCUGACGAGUGGCGGACGGGUGAGUAACGCGUGGGAAUCUGCCCAGUAGCGGGGGACAACUCGGGGGAAACUCGAGCUAAUACCGCAUACGCCCUACGGGGGAAAGGCUUCGGCCACUAUUGGAUGAGCCCGCGUCGGAUUAGCUUGUUGGUGGGGUAAUGGCCUACCAAGGCGACGAUCCGUAGCUGGUCUGAGAGGAUGAUCAGCCACACUGGGACUGAGACACGGCCCAGACUCCUACGGGAGGCAGCAGUGGGGAAUAUUGGACAAUGGGCGAAAGCCUGAUCCAGCAAUGCCGCGUGUGUGAAGAAGGCCUGCGGGUUGUAAAGCACUUUCAGUAGGGAAGAUUAUGACGGUACCUACAGAAGAAGCACCGGCUAACUCCGUGCCACGCAGCCGCGGUAAAGUGACUAC